GCACGCGCAGCAGCGCCUCCGACGACACCCGGAAGUGCCAGUGCCUGUUGCCUGCCGCCACCGGUGGUCGAGAAAAGCUGCUUGUGUUUCUUCGACCCCAGGUCAGCGACUUUGAGGUGAAUUCAAGAGAGGUUGUUGGAUGGAAGGAAUUAAGGAAGGAACUUAGAAGGACCCCUGUUCAGGGUUAAAAUUAAAAACCAGCUGCCGAAACCCGGGAUCGAACCAGGGACCUUUAGAUCUUCAGUCUAACGCUCUCCCAACUGAGCUAUUUCGGCGCUGCGCCUCUCCCCUUCUACAAUGUGCUAUCUCUGAGUACUUCAGGUCCAGUCGUCCUGCGGUGUUUUAUUAAUAAUUAAUCUGUUCUGUAUUUUUGUUUGUUCUGUUUGAAUCAUGUUUCUUCGGUCUCACUUCUCGUAACCAGAAAUUCACGGUCCUGGUCCCUUCCCGAGACCAGCUCGGGGUUUCCUAGGCGAACAUGUCACACUUUUGGACUGUACGGGAAUGUCCCAGAUCUGGCUGGCUGGCAGUGUUUGCCCAGAGCUGUUGGUUGACUGAGUGGUUGGGUCCCUGGAGGCCAGAGUCCUCUGGCCAGUCCCAGACGCGGCAUUCGUAGUCUCUCAGACCCGCGUCCUGCAAAGGGCGCAGCUCGGUUACAAGCUCUGAGGGGAACCUGUUUGGCAAACACUUGGGCAGUUCAUGAAAGAAGACUUAAUGUCAGCGCUCCUUCACGUCACGCGGGUUCCUGGAGCACCCACUACCUGCCCCCUGGAUCUUACUGAAGUUCUGUUUUCUUCUCCUCUCCGAUUAAAUAGUACUAAUCUCAAUAGCACUUUCUCUCGACGCCCUUUCAGCCCAGGUACGAGACUUUUCUUUACCUAGAAGCGUCGCUAUCAAUUUGGGUUGAUGGGAGGAUGUGAAAGGAAAAGAGAAAAAGAAAGAGUGCUUGCGACCUUCACUGGGUCCCCUUCAUUCAGUCUGCAUUCUACAAACGGGUCUCUGGGCGCCCGGUUUGAACCAAUAACAGAGUCAACCAAAUCCACAUAACAAAAGAGCUCGAAAAUUAAGAGGUCGGUGGAUAAGGAGAGUGUCCUCUUCUGUCACUGCCUGCCUGGACUCAAGUGUGCCGUGAGUCAAUCUCAGGCUCUUGGGGUCUUUCCAUCUCUUCCUGGAGACUGGGAGGUGUGGUGGUCUGACUGAGAAAUGUCCCCUACAGUCUUGAACAUUUGAACAGCAGUUUAGGGGGGGUUAGAAAGUGCAGACUUUUGGAGGAAGUAUGUCAUCGGUCCUUAGAAGGUCACAAGUGCACUUUAGGUCCCCCCAGCCUCCCGGGAUAAAAAUUCACAUUCCCGAUUCUGAGUCUCGUUUCAUGGACUGAACUCUGCUAUCUUCAACUUGAGGUUCUAUGAACAAAGUAAGCUGAUCCCAAGGACACAUUGUCUCUGGGUUUGAGAGAAAACUUCUGCUUCAUCUGCAAGACUGCAGAGGAGAGGAGCCAUCACAGCAACCAUGGAGGGCAGGCUCAGAAUAAGGAUAAGGAUGUGGGAGGAGAUCCUAACCCAAACAGAAACUUUUUGUAGGCCACACUCCAGUUUUCCCAGUUAACCCAAGGAUGCUUGCUAACCCCGAUGCAACCGCUUAUGAUAUCUAUGAAAACUGAACUAGCCAGCAGAAGGAAGACAUCAAAAUUAAAAAAAAAAAAAGAAAGCUUGUUGUAUAUAUGUCUGAAAUUCUUUUUGAACUGUUGUCAAUUGAUUAUCUGUUCUUAACGUUGUUCCUGGAACCCCUACAGCACAGACAAAACCCUGACGACCACUUUACUUUCCUCUCAUUUUAGUAUUCGUCCUAGGGAAGUUUAAGAAAAAUUGACGGGAAUAUAUAAAAAGGAUAUAGGAGCAGUUUGAAAGGGCUGCUCUUGGCCCAAACUGGGACAGCAUAAACAUCACGGAUGCGUAAAACACAAAGUCAUGACUACAGUACCUAAAAGCCUUGUGGCGGGCAGUGAAGACUGGCACGGAACUGAAGGAAUUGUGCCGUGGGUUAAAUGCAGAAGAAGUGGUGGCCCUGAAAAUUGCCGUUUUCUAAGCAUCGUAGUGAAGAGUCGUUCUGUGAGGAAUUAUCAGUGGCUGCUAAUGUAGCUCAGUUAAGAGUGCUUGCCUGCCACGCACAAAACCCUGUUUCUGAGCCUCAGGCUUUCUAAGGCCAUGUGUGGUGCAACGAGCUUAUAACCCCAAUACUCAGGCGUCAGAGGCAGGAGGUCAGGAGUUCAAGAUUAUCCCAAGUGAAAUUUCAAGUUCAAGACCAGCCUGGGACAGGAGAAACUCUGCUUCAGAAAAAGAAAGGAGGAAGAAAAGGAUGGUGACAGGAAGCGGGGAAGUCCCCUGAGAUGGCAAGUCUAGGUCAGAAAACUUGGACUCCAGAAGUUGAAUGUUGUAGGCUUGGGCACUCUUAAGUCCUUCUUAUCUUAAUUGCUUGUGGCUUGCAAUUAAUGGCGCCGUGGACCAGCCCUCCAGCUGUUUUCAUUUCCCCAUCUGCAUGCCUCUGCCUCCUACCAGGACACAAGCUAGGGUCAUCUGGCGUGAGGGAGCUUCCGUUGAGGAAUGGCCUCCAUCAGACAGGCCUGUUGGUGUGAUGUUUACAUAUGCUUGGCCCAGGGAGUGGCACUAUUAGAAGGUGUGGCCUCAUUAGAGGAAGUGUGUCACUGUGGGGGUAGCUGCCUAAGGAUGCUCAGUGUGUUCCGGGCUUCCUUUUGGUGAAGAUGUAGAACUGAGCUCCUCCUGCACCAUGACUGCCUGGAUGCUGCCAUGCUCCCACCUUGAUGAUAAUGGAUUGAACCUCUGAACCUGUAAGCCAGCCCCAAUCAAAUCCUGUCCUUUAUAAAACUUGCAUUGAUCAUGGUGUCUGUACACAGAAAUAAAACCUUAACUAAGACAAUAAGGUAUCCUCAAGUAAGCUGGGGAAGCCCUAAAGUAUAGGAAGGGAUAGAUAUAGGUUACAUGUAAAAACUUUGUAACUUUAUAACAUGGAUUCAGGCAUUCUCAAUAUGUAACAUGGUAGCUUUUAGGAGACCAGUGCUGAAAUAUUUAUAAUAAUAAAUAAUUGUCAAAUUAUUUAUCUUUUCUUUUGACACAGGGUCUGAUUUUGCAGCUCAGGCUGACUGACAGGAGAUAUAUAUAUCUCUUACCUCAGACUUACAGAUCUGCCUCUGCCUCUCUGCCUCUGCCUCUGCCUCUGCCUCUGCCUCUGCCUCUGCCUCUCUGCCUCUGCCUCUGCCUCUGCCUCUGCCUCUGCCUCUGCCUCUGCCUCUGCCUCUGCCUCUGCCUCUGCCUCUGCCUCUGCCUCUGCCUCUGCCUCUGCCUCUGCCUCUGCCUCUGCCUCUGCCUCUGCUGGAAUUAAAGGCAUGCAUUAAAGGCUUCAGUAAAUAUCUCAAACACGUAAUACACAGAGAUAGAGCAAAAUGUUAACAUUGUUGAACACAGAUGGAGAAAUGUGUCUUAAAUGUUGUUUGCUUUUAAUUUUGCAUAAUAAAAACUUGAGAGAGAAUAAA
Molecule: non-coding RNA, 3544 nt
Organism: Rattus norvegicus (Norway rat)
Lineage: Eukaryota; Metazoa; Chordata; Mammalia; Rodentia; Muridae
Source: RefSeq, a predicted model, not a curated record